AUUGAACGCUGGCGGCGUGGCUAAAGCAUGCAAGUCGAGCGAACCCGCAAGGGUGAGCGGCGGACGGGUUAGUAAUACGAUCGAACGUGCCCUGAGGCGGGGGAUAGGCGUGGGAAACUGCGCGUAAUACCCCAUGAUCUCUCCGGAGCAAAGGUUUCCACCUUGGGAUCGGCGAUCGUCCUAUCAGCUAGUUGGCGGGUAAAGCCACAAGGCUAUGACGGUANCAGGUGGAGAGCACGACCUGCAACAUC
This 251-nucleotide ribosomal RNA is filed under the name uncultured bacterium. RNAcentral describes it as "partial 16S ribosomal RNA". It matches the Rfam family "Bacterial small subunit ribosomal RNA", at positions 30 to 314 of the family's 1533-position model. The record is from RNAcentral.